This is a long non-coding RNA of Tachyglossus aculeatus (Australian echidna), 1061 nucleotides long. RefSeq lists it as uncharacterized. The record is from RefSeq and is a predicted model, not a curated record. Lineage: Eukaryota; Metazoa; Chordata; Mammalia; Monotremata; Tachyglossidae. The transcript is spliced from 2 exons.
CGCGGAGGGGAUAACGGCGGUGCUUUCAUUGUUGAAUGUUCAGUCCGGGUCCUUAACCCUUCCUCUGGGGGAUAUGGGGACCUCUGCCCCCCGUUACGUGUGCAACCAGAAGUCGUGUCGAAACUUGACCGUGCAGAAGUGUAACUCACGUGCAGCUGGAAAAUCGGUGUUUUUGGGUUUCCCCGCCGUGGCCCCCUUCCUGCUAAGUUGGCGUUCACCGUCACGUUUCCCGCCCUCCGGCCUUCCCGGGCCGCGAACCGAUUUCGGGCCUCUCCAAAACUCCGUGGUCUGUAAAUACAAGAUUCUUAAUUUAAAAACAAAACACACCAACCUAGAGACUUUUUUUUUUUUUUUUGCACUUUAAAACCUACUUUUCGGACGAAGCUUCCUAAAGGGUCCUGUUGUGGCCCGUGGAGCGUACCGUAUUUGGCGGGCCAGGGUUGGGGCUGGGGGGGGUCCUGUCUUUCCAGCCCCGCAGUCGAAAACUACUACACGGCAGGGGUGUGUGCUUGAAUCCGGUCCCGCCGCCUGGGAGGAUGGGAUCUCCCAGAGGACCCCCCCGCCGUCUACUUAAGCUGUUUGGGAGCCUGCCGCGUGGUUUUCGGUCCUGGGAAACGGGCAGCCUCCGGUGGUUCUGUUCCGGAAACUCACUGCCGAGGGCAAAACCGUGCAAGUCGGAGGCCCGAAGGUUUUGACAGAAUUUUUUGACCUUAGUACGGAGAAGCUGAGUUAAAAGGAGUGUUACUGCCUUAAUGAUUAAGCGUUCGUUAGUUUGAAGGCCUGUACACACCAAGGAGAACUGCAUGUUUGUUUCUGCCUUUUUGUUAAAUAAGUGGGCGGUGAUGGAUGGCUUGAAAAAAGGACUUGGUUUCGGAGAUGGUUUUUCUUCACCCAACGGGUGGGUUCCGUCGGGCACAGGGAGCUCGUGUUAGAAGAGGGCUUUUUACGGAUGAAGACCGGUGGGGAAACACCGCUCCAAUUAGCUGUAUAUGUCCUAGAGGAAGCGAACAGUCUGUAAAAGCCCAAAUUGCACUGAUUAAAGAGCAGCCGGAAUCACGAAA